Molecule: ribosomal RNA, 211 nt
Filed under: uncultured prokaryote
Description: partial 16S ribosomal RNA
Rfam family: Bacterial small subunit ribosomal RNA
Source: RNAcentral
UACGUAGGGUGCGAGCGUUAAUCGGAAUUACUGGGCGUAAAGCGUGCGCAGGCGGUUUGGUAAGACAGAUGUGAAAUCCCCGGGCUUAACCUGGGAACUGCAUUUGUGACUGCCCGGCUAGAGUGUGUCAGAGGGGGGUAGAAUUCCACGUGUAGCAGUGAAAUGCGUAGAUAUGUGGAGGAACACCGAUGGCGAAGGCAGUCCCCUGGAC